GUUUGAUUCGGAUGCAUAUACUUUUAAUUACUGUUGUUCAGUUAUAGUCGUUUGUUGAUGUCGUUUUUGUUUUAUAUAUAUAUAUGAAAUAGACUGUAAGUUUUCCUGUUUUAUUGGUUAUAAACUUGUCAUUGUUGGGGCUCUUAAUUGCUUGCUGUUCGGUGUGAGCAAAGCCUCAAUUUUUAAAUAAAAUUAUAAUCAAAAUCCCAAAUAUGAAGCAGAAUAUAGUGUAUGAUUAGUAUUUUUGAUCUAAAGUUUAUUUGGACUAAAUGAAAAGCAAACAGUCAAUGAAGUGUAGCUUUUUGAGUGAUAUGGCAUCAAUAAUCUCUGUGUUGUUUGUUCUUGGAUCAGAAUACAAACAAGUCCAGGUAUGAACUUUUUUAUUGGAGCGUCAAGGGUGAGUCUUUUGUAGACGAAACACUUCUGGCGUACAAAAUGUUAAUCCUGGUAUCAUAAGCAAAGGCCCAAAUUAAACGCCUGUCAUUCAAAUAUAAAAUGCCCCAGCAUAUUAAUCAAAUUAAAACAAUAAAAAGAGUAUGUCCUGUGGCAUUCCUAGUUGAGUCUUCUCCAUGAC
This 574-nucleotide long non-coding RNA is filed under the name Mytilus galloprovincialis (Mediterranean mussel). The record is from RNAcentral. Lineage: Eukaryota; Metazoa; Mollusca; Bivalvia; Mytilida; Mytilidae.